RNAcentral lists this long non-coding RNA (538 nucleotides) under Ovis aries (sheep). RNAcentral describes it as "lncRNA (ENSOARG00000025504.1)". The record is from RNAcentral. Lineage: Eukaryota; Metazoa; Chordata; Mammalia; Artiodactyla; Bovidae.
CCCAAAUCGCCUAUUAGUCAUGUUUCUAGGAAAGAGGCCCUCCAUGAGAUAAAUUGCCUGUUGAUCUUAAGACUGGGAUGUUUCCUAUAUCUCAGCAAGAAGUUAAGUGUCAAUCAAUAAAAGUAGGUGAUGAUCAGACAUGUUUUUGAUUUUAAAGCUUGGACAAGUUCUUUGUUUUGUGUUUGCAUUUUUUUUUUUUUUUUUUUUUUUUGAUUUCGACUUUUUUUUUUUUUUUAAAGUUGUGGAAACUUUUUUUUUUUUUUUUUUUUUUUUUUUUUUUUUUUUUUUUUUUUUUGCUUUGUCAUUUUAUCUUACACAGCUGGUUUGUGACAGAUUCAGAAGUCAGCACUCAAGAGAAGGUCAGAACAACGGCCUCCGACCUACCGUGGAUCAAGACAACAGUGUCAGGGGCUCUGUCCUCCCCAGCAACCUGGUACAAGAUGCUUCCCCAGAAGACAGAUGGAAACCUGCCUACGGACAGGGCCCUCCAGCUCAGCUAGCCCACCCGGCACAGCGUCAAGAUGGAGACUGCCUCUAA